Molecule: ribosomal RNA, 842 nt
Filed under: uncultured Staphylococcus sp.
Lineage: Bacteria; Bacillati; Bacillota; Bacilli; Caryophanales; Staphylococcaceae
Description: bacterial SSU rRNA
Rfam family: Bacterial small subunit ribosomal RNA
Source: RNAcentral
GUCGACAACGGGACUUCUUCCCCCGACUUACGCCGACGGUGAGUACACAUGGNUUACCCUUACCUAUAGUCUGGAAUAACUCCCGGGAAAACCGGGGCUUAAUGNCCGGAUACAUGUUGGACCGCAUGGUCCUACAGUGUAAAAGACGGUUCUUCUGUCACUAAUAGAUGGACCCGCCCCGUAUUAGCUAUUUGUUAAGGUACGGCUUACCAAGGCAACGAUACGUAGCCGACCUGAGAGGUUGAUCGGCCACAACUGGAACUGAGACACGGUCCAGACUCCUACGGGAGGCAGCAGUAGGGAAUCUUCCGCAAUGGGCGAAAGCCUGACGGAGCAACGCCGCGUGAGUGAUGAAGGCCUUCGGGUCGUAAAACUCUGUUAUUAGGGAAGAACAAAUGUGUAAGUAACUAUGCACGUCAUGACGGUACCUAAUCAGAAAGCCACGGCUAACUACGUGCCAGCAGCCGCAGUAAUACGUAGGUGGCAAGCGUUAUCCGGAAUUAUUGGGCGUAAAGCGCGCGUAGGCGGUUUCUUAAGUCUGAUGUGAAAGCCCACGGCUCAACCGUGGAGGGUCAUUGGAAACUGGGAAACUUGAGUGCAGGAGAGGAAAGUGGAAUUCCAUGUGUAGCGGUGAAAUGCGCAGAGAUAUGGAGGAACACCAGUGGCGAAGGCGACUUUCUGGUCUGCAACUGACGCUGAUGUGCGAAAGCGUGGGGAUCAAACAGGAUUAGAUACCCUGGUAGUCCACGCCGUAAACGAUGAGUGCUAAGUGUUAGGGGGUUUCCGCCCCUUAGUGCUGCAGCUACGCAUUAAGCCCACUCCGCCUGGAGAGUACGACCGCA